RNAcentral lists this long non-coding RNA (365 nucleotides) under Rattus norvegicus (Norway rat). Its description in RNAcentral is "long non-coding RNA NONRATT000467". The record is from RNAcentral. Lineage: Eukaryota; Metazoa; Chordata; Mammalia; Rodentia; Muridae.
AGAAUGGGGCCUAUAGGGUAUGGAAAAAUAGCAACCCACACUUGGAAAUACCUCCCUUGAGCCUCUGAUGAACUGGGAUCGUGGCUUUACUGGAAAAGGGUGUGACUACCCCCAUUUUAUAGGUGCUGGGUGAUUCAGGGUCUCCGGCAUGUGUGCUCCUGUUUAUUACUGGUUUUUUCUGCCAUAUGGACCUUAACCGUUGGACCUCCUGCUCAUCCGGAAAGGCAAGAGUCCUACUGUGGCAGCCUAUGGUUUUCUGCAUGACGACCUCUGAUCGAUUUCUCCAAGAUACGUGCUGCUGGUCCACACAGGAUGCUGCUGAGAGUGGGGGUCCCCCACAGGAUAGCUGGCCCAUCUCCAGCAAG